AGAGUUUGAUCCUGGCUCAGAUUGAACGCUGGCGGAACGCUUUACACAUGCAAGUCGAACGGUAACGCGGGGAGAAGCUUGCUUCUCCCCGGCGACGAGUGGCGAACGGGUGAGUAAUACAUCGGAACGUGUCCGCUCGUGGGGGACAACCAGCCGAAAGGUUGGCUAAUACCGCAUGAGUUCUACGGAAGAAAGAGGGGGACCCGCAAGGGCCUCUCGCGAGCGGAGCGGCCGAUGACUGAUUAGCCGGUUGGUGAGGUAACGGCUCACCAAAGCAACGAUCAGUAGCUGGUCUGAGAGGACGACCAGCCACACUGGGACUGAGACACGGCCCAGACUCCUACGGGAGGCAGCAGUGGGGAAUUUUGGACAAUGGGCGCAAGCCUGAUCCAGCUAUUCCGCGUGUGGGAUGAAGGCCCUCGGGUUGUAAACCACUUUUGUAGAGAACGAAAAGACACCUUUUAAAAAAGGGUGUUGCUGACGGUACUCUAAGAAUAAGCACCGGCUAACUACGUGCCAGCAGCCGCGGUAAUACGUAGGGUGCGAGCGUUAAUCGGAAUUACUGGGCGUAAAGGGUGCGCAGGCGGUUGAGUAAGACAGAUGUGAAAUCCCCGAGCUUAACUCGGGAAUGGCAUAUGUGACUGCUCGACUAGAGUGUGUCAGAGGGAGGUGGAAUUCCACGUGUAGCAGUGAAAUGCGUAGAUAUGUGGAAGAACACCGAUGGCGAAGGCAGCCUCCUGGGACAUAACUGACGCUCAGGCACGAAAGCGUGGGGAGCAAACAGGAUUAGAUACCCUGGUAGUCCACGCCCUAAACGAUGUUAACUAGUUGUUGGGAUGUAACAAUCUCAGUAACGCAGCCAACGCGAGAAGUUAACCGCCUGGGAAGUACGGUCGCAAGACUAAAACUCAAAGGAAUUGACGGGGACCCGCACAA
Molecule: ribosomal RNA, 936 nt
Filed under: human gut metagenome
Description: bacterial SSU rRNA
Rfam family: Bacterial small subunit ribosomal RNA
Source: RNAcentral